This 253-nucleotide ribosomal RNA is filed under the name uncultured Opitutus sp. RNAcentral's name for it is "partial 16S ribosomal RNA". It matches the Rfam family "Bacterial small subunit ribosomal RNA", at positions 524 to 776 of the family's 1533-position model. The record is from RNAcentral. Lineage: Bacteria; Pseudomonadati; Verrucomicrobiota; Opitutia; Opitutales; Opitutaceae.
UACAGAGACUGCAAGCGUUAUUCGGAUUCACUGGGCGUAAAGGGUGCGCAGGCAGCCAAGUGUGUGAGGCGUGAAAGCUUGGAGCUUAACUCCAGAAUUGCACCUCAAACUACAUGGCUAGAGCAUUGGAGAGGGUAGCAGAAUUCACGGUGUAGCAGUGAAAUGCGUAGAUAUCGUGAGGAAUACCAGAGGCGAAGGCGGCUACCUGGACAAUUGCUGACGCUCAGGCACGAAAGCGUGGGGAGCAAAAGGG